This 468-nucleotide ribosomal RNA is filed under the name uncultured bacterium. Its description in RNAcentral is "partial 16S ribosomal RNA". It matches the Rfam family "Bacterial small subunit ribosomal RNA", at positions 28 to 507 of the family's 1533-position model. The record is from RNAcentral.
GACGAACGCUGGCGGCGUGCUUAACACAUGCAAGUCGAACGGAAAGGCCCUGCUUUUGUGGGGUGCUCGAGUGGCGAACGGGUGAGUAACACGUGAGUAACCUGCCCUUGACUUUGGGAUAACUUCAGGAAACUGGGGCUAAUACCGGAUAGGAGCUCCUGCUCCAUGGUGGGGGUUGGAAAGUUUCGGCGGUUGGGGAUGGACUCGCGGCUUAUCAGCUUGUUGGUGGGGUAGUGGCUUACCAAGGCUUUGACGGGUAGCCGGCCUGAGAGGGUGACCGGCCACAUUGGGACUGAGAUACGGCCCAGACUCCUACGGGAGGCAGCAGUGGGGAAUAUUGCACAAUGGGCGGAAGCCUGAUGCAGCAACGCCGCGUGCGGGAUGAUGGCCUUCGGGUUGUAAACCGCUUUCGCCUGUGACGAAGCGUGAGUGACGGUAAUGGGUAAAGAAGCACCGGCUAACUACGUG